This 253-nucleotide ribosomal RNA is filed under the name uncultured bacterium. RNAcentral's name for it is "partial 16S ribosomal RNA". It matches the Rfam family "Bacterial small subunit ribosomal RNA", at positions 524 to 776 of the family's 1533-position model. The record is from RNAcentral.
UACGUAGGGGGCAAGCGUUGUCCGGAAUUAUUGGGCGUAAAGGGCGCGCAGGCGGUCUCUUAAGUCUGAUGUGAAAGCCCACGGCUUAACCGUGGAGGGUCAUUGGAAACUGGGAGACUUGAGUAUAGGAGAGGAAAGUGGAAUUCCACGUGUAGCGGUGAAAUGCGUAGAGAUGUGGAGGAACACCAGUGGCGAAGGCGACUUUCUGGCCUAUAACUGACGCUGAGGCGCGAAAGCGUGGGGAGCGAACAGG